UACGGAGGGUGCUAGCGUUGUUCGGAAUUACUGGGCGUAAAGCGCCCGUAGGCGGCUUUGUAAGUUAGAUGUGAAAGCCCAGGGCUUAACCCUGGAAUUGCCUUUAAGACUGCAUCGCUAGAAUCGUGGAGAGGUGAGUGGAAUUCCGAGUGUAGAGGUGAAAUUCGUAGAUAUUCGGAAGAACACCAGUGGCGAAGGCGACUCACUGGACACGUAUUGACGCUGAGGUGCGAAAGCGUGGGGAGCAAACAGG
Molecule: ribosomal RNA, 253 nt
Filed under: uncultured bacterium
Lineage: Bacteria
Description: partial 16S ribosomal RNA
Rfam family: Bacterial small subunit ribosomal RNA
Source: RNAcentral